UUACAUCAAAUUGCUUUUCUUUCCACCUCCUUCGGGCUUGUUAAUUGUUAUUUACGAUAUCAAUCCAUGAUCCUAUUCGUCGUUGCGAAGUCUUGAACCAUUGAAACGUUAAAUGAAAUAGUGAAUUUCAUUGCACCUAAACCAAAGCAGUCGCUUGCAUGCUUACACACACCAAUCAUAAGGAGGUGAAGAAUGAAUGCAAAUAGCCGAAGUAAAGUCCAUACAAGCUUCUUCUGUUUAAUUUCUUUUUUCUUUUUUCUGCGGAUUUAAAAGACUUUUAUCUUUUCAAAAGAAUCUUCAUUUUCACGAUAGCGUUUUUAAAACGACGAACUAACAAUGACUUGUUUUUCUACCAAAAUAGUAGCGGGUAUUGCGGAAAACCCGUAUUUUCGAGCUUUUUGAAAAUCAUUGUCUACUGCUAAAACAUCACUAACACAAGUAGAAUAUUGCUGAAAUCAUGACUAUUUAGUCAAAAAAUUUCCUUUUUCUUCUUAGGAGUGGUAGAGGGAGGAAAGUAAAAAUCAACGAGAAACUUUGCAGCGCUUAUUUACCGCAAAGUGGGGAUGGCGAGUCAAUAUGGAAUAAAUUAAUGGAAAAAAAAAGAAUGGCAUGACCUGCGCAUUCUUGUAUGUUUUUUUAGUCGAUCUAUCGUACACAAAAAGCAUCCAAAAUUUUUUUACAUUAAAUUUCUACACCAACUUAAAUAUCAUUUACAA
Non-coding RNA from Schizosaccharomyces pombe (fission yeast), 716 nucleotides. The record is from the annotation of a GenBank genome assembly. Lineage: Eukaryota; Fungi; Ascomycota; Schizosaccharomycetes; Schizosaccharomycetales; Schizosaccharomycetaceae.